GGAAGGUAAGUCUAAAUGGUUUGACAGCAGUCUUGAAAACUGCCGGGCGUGAAAUCCCAUACAGGUUCGAGUCCUGUACCUUCCG
Molecule: transfer RNA, 85 nt
Filed under: Acidobacteriota bacterium
Lineage: Bacteria; Pseudomonadati; Acidobacteriota
Also listed under: 2 other names
Description: tRNA-Ser
Rfam family: tRNA
About the family: Transfer RNA (tRNA) molecules are approximately 80 nucleotides in length. Their secondary structure includes four short double-helical elements and three loops (D, anti-codon, and T loops).
Source: RNAcentral